CUUCACAAAUUCUAAAAGCAAUCGCAUUGAAACAGAUGCAUCAUUUUUUUCGAGAUAUUUUACGGUAUAUUGACAAAUUUCUGAUUUGAACAAGCUUUUCACUCCUCUCGACACAGGGAGCUUUAGCAGAGCCUACGAGUACGAGUACGAAUUACGUCAUUUUGGCGCGAAAACAUUGUUGCGAUAACAACAACACGUAGCCGUCAUCAAUAUGAUGUGGUGGAAGAGUUUAUGAAAGAUACUGAAGAUAUGCAAGUAAAUACAACAGUUACAUAAAGGAUGUAGCAUCAGCACUGGAAUCAGACAGACAGUCCAAGCACAAAAUACAACAAAAAUGCUGAUGAAGAUAAUUGAGGAGUAGGUCACAUAUGUUUCACUGAAAUACUUGGCUUUGGUAAUUUAUCCAAACUUGCAUUGACUUCAGCACAAACCAUGAAAAAAAUGCAACAUACACCACAGUUUAAGCAGAUAUAAAGUUAUGAUGUACAUCCUGAAUGUCCAAGCAAAGAAUACAACAAAAAUGCUGAAAAGACAUUAUGUUAAGCAGAACAGUACAGAUAUGGGAGACCUUGGCCACUAUGAAGCAAUUGUUUGGUUUUUUACCACUGGAAGGAAUUACAUGCUGUCACUAAAUGGAGGAAAGCUAUUGGAUGUUAUUUUUAUUGGACUGCUAUAUGAGGAUUAUCUGAUGCUAAUACAAUAUUGGUAAAAAUCUCAAGGCAUGGAUUUGGCUCACUAGGGUUAGGUUGUAUUGCAUAUAAAAAGCUAAAGGAAGCACAAGAGGACACAAACAAUUGGUUAAACAAUUAUCUUCUACAACACAAAAAAGGUGUUCAGAAAGAUACCUUUCAGUUUUUAAUAUUUUGCUCCAAAGAUGAUUCAUUAUUCUUAUCAGCUGGAAUGCUUUGCAGGUGUAGCCUAACAAAAUAUCAAUAACAUAUCUAUUGAAAUAUUUGAUAAUGCUUUGCAUGUGUCAUCCAAUACAUCCUGACAGCCUAACAUUUCAGUGGUAGAAAGAAAAUGUAAAACCAAGGAUGUUAAGAGCCUACAGUAAAUUACCAAAUACGAAACUACUAUCAAUAAUCAGAAAUAAUGGAGCUUCCAUAUAUUAUAUAAACAAUGAGGCCUCCUGUCAUCACACACAAAUAAUACAUAAUAACAUUGCUUACUUUUCUCUGGGCUUUCAGUAUCAAGAACUCAUUUGUUCAAAGAAACUUUGUGAAAGCCAUAAUAGUCUAUAAUAUAUACGGUAUUGAUCCAUCUUCUUACUGGACUCACUCCCACUUGAACGAAGUAUGCAGUUGAGUUUCAUAUUGAUGCAAGUAAUGGAUAUUAUUACAAAUAUGGAUAAAUACUUUCACUAAGACCAUUUCAGAACAGAACGAAAGCAACAAUCUAAUUGACUCUCUAAAGCGUUCACAAGUUCUUUUUCCUGAGCAACAAUGUCUUCCUACACAACAAUUCUUCGACUGAUGCCACUAGCUAGCAAUGAAGCCACUUGCUUUUAGUUGCAACGGUAAACAACAGCCUCGAGGCCCUCGACUAUGUCGUCGCAUGGCAGAAAUUCUGCUUGUGAAUCGCCAGUAUGAGGACAAAUGUACAGAAUGAUAAUUCUCGUAAAAGGACCAGGAAGUGCUGCCGUAUUCUAAAUUACAUCUGUAUUAUUUUCGAUGUACACUGCACACAGCAAGCGAUACAGCAAUUGUCUGACACUGUCAUUAUCAUCGAGUUACUUUAUGAAUAUUACAUGAUGGAGGCUAUGACGUAACAGACUUAUUAAGCCUUCACUUAAGCUUCUUUCUCAAAGACAUAAGUACGAACUACAUCCAGGGGCGAAACUAGCACCUUUUUAAUGGGGGGGGGGAGGGGCUCGGGAUGAAAUUGCCCUGGAAGGACAUAAGAUGCCCUGCAGAUCAUAUGGAACAGUACUUACACUAUAUAUUUUUGUAAUACAUGUUGUAUUUUUGUGGCAGAACGCACUUUAGCGUACUAUUAAAUCUUUAAUGGCA
This is a long non-coding RNA of Xenia sp. Carnegie-2017, 2009 nucleotides long. RefSeq lists it as uncharacterized. Lineage: Eukaryota; Metazoa; Cnidaria; Anthozoa; Malacalcyonacea; Xeniidae. The record is from RefSeq and is a predicted model, not a curated record. The transcript has 6 exons.